Hydractinia symbiolongicarpus is the source of this 2490-nucleotide long non-coding RNA. RefSeq lists it as uncharacterized. The transcript has 2 exons. The record is from RefSeq and is a predicted model, not a curated record. Lineage: Eukaryota; Metazoa; Cnidaria; Hydrozoa; Anthoathecata; Hydractiniidae.
AAAAUCGUUCUGGAAAUGAGUUUACUCACAGGGUACUUUCUUUGUAUACAUGCGACUAUACGUGCCAAGCCCGGGAUUUACGGGAAAUCGCGGGUUUUAGUUUGCCGGCGAUUAAACUGCUUUUAUUCAGCGUCUCAUCAAAAAUGAAAACAUUCUUGAAAACUACAAGUCUCAUGCGUUUUAGUGGUGAAAAAAAAAUUUAAAAAAUCGUUCGGGAAAUGAGUUUACUCCCUGGGUACUUUCUUUGUAUACUUUUGACUAUACGGGCCGAGUCCGGGAUUUACGGGAAAUCGCGGAUUUUCGUUUGCCGGUGAUUAAACUUCUUUUAUUCAGCGUCCCAUCAAAUAUGAAAAUAUUUUUGAAAACUACAAGUCUCAUGCGUUUAGUGGUGAAAAAAUAAUUUAAAAAAUCGUCCUGGAAAUGAGUUUACUCACAGGGUACUUUCUUUGUAUACAUGCGACUAUACGUGCCAAUCCCGGGAUUUACGGGAAAUCGCGGGUUUUAGUUUGCCGGCGAUUUAACUGCUUCUAUUCAGCGUCUCAUCAAAAAUGAAAACAUUCUUGAAAACUACAAGUCUCAUGCGUUUUAGUGGUGAAAAAAUAAUUUAAAAAAUCGUUCGGGAAAUGAGUUUACUCUCUGGGUACUUUCUUUGUAUACUUUUGACUAUAUGGGUCGAGUCUGGGAUUUACGGGAAAUCGCGGAUUUUCGUUUGCCGGUGAUUAAACUUCUUUUAUUCAGCGUCCCAUCAAAUAUGAAAAUAUUUUUGAAAACUACAAGUCUCAUGCGUUUAGUGGUAAAAAAAUAAUAUAAAAAAUCGUUCGGGAAAUGAGUUUACUCCCUGGGUACUUUCUUUGUAUACUUUUGACUAUACGGGCCGAGUCCAGGAUUUACGGGAAAUCGCAGGGUUUCGUUUGCCGGCGAUUGAACUUCUUUUAUUCAGCGUCUCAUCAAAAAAGAAAACAUUUUUGAAAACUACAAGUCUCAUGCGUUUUAGUGGUGAAAAAGUAAUUUAAGAAAUCGUUCGGGAAAUGAGUUUACUCCCUGGGUACUUUUUUGGUAUACUUUUGACUAUACGGCCAAGCCCGGGAUUUACCGGAACUCGCGGGUUUUCGUUUGCCGGUGAUUAAACUUCUUUUAUUCAGCGUCUCAUCAAAAAUGAAAACAUUUUUGAAAACUACAAGUCUCAUGCGUUUUAGUGGUGAAAAAAUAAUUUAAAAAAUCGUUCGGGAAAUGAGUUUACUCCCUGGGUACUCUCUUUUUCUAUACUUUUGACUAUACGGGCCGAGUCCGGGAUUUACGGGAAAUCGCGGAUUUUCGUUUGCCGACGAUUAAACUUCUUUUAUUGAGGGUCUCAUCAAAAAUGAAAACAUUUUUGAAAACUACAAGUCUCAUGCGUUUUAGUGGUGAAAAAAUAAUUUAAAAAAUCGUUCGGGAAAAGAGUUUACUCCCUGGGUACUUUCUUUGUAUACUUUUUGCGAAGCAAUUGAGCUUUGCGAGCGAAGCGAGCGAAGCGAAAUUGUGGAGCACGUUUGCUACACGCGAGGUAUACCAAGAGAAUUAUUGAGAUUCUCAAAAUUUCGAUAGAAAAAAAAUCAUAUAAAAUCAUCGUAAAGAAAUAGGACUGAUAUUUUUGCACAUAAAGCUAGGGUAUUUUUUUUUCUAAUAAAACAAAUAAGUUUGGACCGAGGGGUUAAAGUAUAAGUUUAGUAAAAAAUGCAAUAAGUACGGCUCGUACCCCCCCACCCCCGGAUUUUGACCCCCCCCCCCCCGUCUUUUGGUCCGGAUUAUACGUCCGCCGAACUUGAACACACAAAGAGGAAUAUGCCGUGAACAAGAAACGGUAGUCGGCAUUUUAGACACGUAUAUUUUACAGACCCAAAAUAUGCCUUAUUUCUUUGUAUUAUAGCUAAUUAUGGUAUAAAUAAUUAAUUAAUUACUUUGCAAUUUUGCUUCUAAUACUAUUAUAGUUGUAUUUUAAUGAAACAUAAUAGUAUUAAAACAGUUUUCUUCUUUUGAAAAAAUUUAUUGCUAGUCCUGUUUCUAAUUGACUUUACUUGUGUAUUUUAAGCUUUUUUGUUGCUGUGCUUUUUCUGGAGAUUUUAGUUGGAUUGGAAAGCUCCUGUGUAAGGUACCCUUUCCUAAAGAAAAUUGAAGUAAUUUGUACAAUUAUAACGCGCCGAGCUGUGUUUUAUUUUAUUGUUUCUAGGAGGAUGUAAGAAUACAAUAUUAUCAAUUUUAAUUGGUUUUAUCCAAAUCAAGAUUGUGUACAAUGGGAGUGAGUGAUGUAAUCUUCUAAUGCGUGUGGUGAAAAGAAGGCGAAUCCGUUAUUGUUUUUCUGCCCAAAUUUGAAGCUAUUUAAUAAAUCUUGAUAAAGUUAAAAAACUGUUUUGAUUUGUUUGUUUUUGUUUUAAUUGUUUCCCGUGAGUUUUCGAAAUUCGUUCCAGCAGAUUCUGUGGCUUCUACUGCCGGUAUUUUUACGUGAAAAAAAUA